GGAGAGGUGGCCGAGUGGUCGAAGGCGGUUGAUUCGAAAUCAACUGUACCUUACGGGUACCGGGGGUUCGAAUCCCUCCCUCUCCGCCA
RNAcentral lists this transfer RNA (89 nucleotides) under bacterium. RNAcentral describes it as "tRNA-Ser". It matches the Rfam family "tRNA". Rfam says of the family: Transfer RNA (tRNA) molecules are approximately 80 nucleotides in length. Their secondary structure includes four short double-helical elements and three loops (D, anti-codon, and T loops). Further hydrogen bonds mediate the characteristic L-shaped molecular structure. tRNAs have two regions of fundamental functional importance: the anti-codon, which is responsible for specific mRNA codon recognition, and the 3' end, to which the tRNAs corresponding amino acid is attached (by aminoacyl-tRNA synthetases). tRNAs cope with the degeneracy of the genetic code in two manners: having more than one tRNA (with a specific anti-codon) for a particular amino acid; and 'wobble' base-pairing, i.e. permitting non-standard base-pairing at the 3rd anti-codon position. The record is from RNAcentral.